RNAcentral lists this transfer RNA (74 nucleotides) under Phycisphaerales bacterium. Its description in RNAcentral is "tRNA-Pro". It matches the Rfam family "tRNA". From Rfam's summary of the family: Transfer RNA (tRNA) molecules are approximately 80 nucleotides in length. Their secondary structure includes four short double-helical elements and three loops (D, anti-codon, and T loops). Lineage: Bacteria; Pseudomonadati; Planctomycetota; Phycisphaerae; Phycisphaerales. The record is from RNAcentral.
CGGGGCGUAGCUCAGCUUGGUAGAGCGCGUGCUUUGGGAGCACGAAGUCGUCGGUUCGAAUCCGGCCGCCCCGA